This 521-nucleotide ribosomal RNA is filed under the name uncultured Glomeraceae. Its description in RNAcentral is "SSU rRNA". It matches the Rfam family "Eukaryotic small subunit ribosomal RNA", at positions 569 to 1092 of the family's 1831-position model. Lineage: Eukaryota; Fungi; Glomeromycota; Glomeromycetes; Glomerales; Glomeraceae. The record is from RNAcentral.
AGCAGCCGCGGUAAUUCCAGCUCCAAUAGCGUAUAUUAAAGUUGUUGCAGUUAAAAAGCUCGUAGUUGAAUUUCGGGAUCAGACUGUCGGUCGUGCCUCGGUACGCACUGGCAUUAUUGGUUCCUACCUUCUGAAGAACCGCGAUGUCAUUAAUUUGGUGUCGUGGGGAAUCAGGACUGUUACUUUGAAAAAAUUAGAGUGUUUAAAGCAGGCUUACGCUUGAAUACAUUAGCAUGGAAUAAUGAAAUAGGACGUUUGAUUCUAUUUUGUUGGUUUCUAGGAUCGACGUAAUGAUUAAUAGGGAUAGUUGGGGGCAUUAGUAUUCAAUUGUCAGAGGUGAAAUUCUUGGAUUUAUUGAAGACUAACUACUGCGAAAGCAUUUGCCAAGGAUGUUUUCAUUAAUCAAGAACGAAAGUUAGGGGAUCGAAGACGAUCAGAUACCGUCGUAGUCUUAACCAUAAACUAUGCCGACUAGGGAUCGGAUGAUGUUAAUUUUAUAAUGACUCAUUCGGCGCCUUACG